Molecule: ribosomal RNA, 474 nt
Filed under: uncultured bacterium
Lineage: Bacteria
Description: bacterial SSU rRNA
Rfam family: Bacterial small subunit ribosomal RNA
Source: RNAcentral
AGGACGAACGCUGGCGGCGUGCCUAACACAUGCAAGUCGAGCGAGGAGAUCCUCGGGAUGAUCCUAGCGGCGGACGGGUGAGUAACACGUGGGCAACCUGCCUCAUAGAGAGGAAUAGCCUUCCGAAAGGGAGAUUAAUACCUCAUAACAUUGCAGUUUCGCAUGGAACAGCAAUUAAAGGAGUAAUCCGCUAUGAGAUGGGCCCGCGGCGCAUUAGCUAGUUGGUGAGGUAAUGGCUCACCAAGGCGACGAUGCGUAGCCGACCUGAGAGGGUGAUCGGCCACAUUGGGACUGAGACACGGCCCAGACUCCUACGGGAGGCAGCAGUGGGGAAUAUUGCACAAUGGGGGAAACCCUGAUGCAAGCAACGCCGCGUGAGUGAUGACGGCCUUCGGGUUGUAAAGCUCUGUCUUCAGGGACGAUAAUGACGGUACCUGAGGAGGAAGCCACGGCUAACUACGUGCCAGCAGCGGC